Long non-coding RNA from Clarias gariepinus (North African catfish), 324 nucleotides. RefSeq lists it as uncharacterized. The transcript has 5 exons. NCBI's taxonomy places the organism in Eukaryota, Metazoa, Chordata, Actinopteri, Siluriformes, Clariidae. The record is from RefSeq and is a predicted model, not a curated record.
CAGCUGCACAAACCAGAAUAACUACAUUUGGUAAUGGACCAUCAUAGAGAGGUAAAAAGGACCAGAAAGAGGAAAAUCUUUGAUGACUUUGUUAAUGAGUCGGACCUUGACAGUGACGUGACCGAUAGUGAGUUGACACAGCUCAGUCAGAGUCUCCUGCCAACCCAAAAAAGAAAAGCAGAACCUGAACGGAAUAAAAAAGCUGUUAAAAGGACUGUGUCCUAUCCAGAUCCUCCUCCCAAAUAUCAGAAAACCCAGCAAGUUGUGGGGCAACACAAAUCAUAUGGAGGCUUUGCACAUUCUUCCCAAAGUAAAACAAAAGGU